AGUCGGUUAGCUCAGUAGGCAGAGCAUCACGUUGUUAACGUGACGGCCGCGGGUUCAACUCCCGCACCAACUU
RNAcentral lists this transfer RNA (73 nucleotides) under Phycisphaerae bacterium. RNAcentral's name for it is "tRNA-Asn". It matches the Rfam family "tRNA". From Rfam's summary of the family: Transfer RNA (tRNA) molecules are approximately 80 nucleotides in length. Their secondary structure includes four short double-helical elements and three loops (D, anti-codon, and T loops). Further hydrogen bonds mediate the characteristic L-shaped molecular structure. tRNAs have two regions of fundamental functional importance: the anti-codon, which is responsible for specific mRNA codon recognition, and the 3' end, to which the tRNAs corresponding amino acid is attached (by aminoacyl-tRNA synthetases). tRNAs cope with the degeneracy of the genetic code in two manners: having more than one tRNA (with a specific anti-codon) for a particular amino acid; and 'wobble' base-pairing, i.e. permitting non-standard base-pairing at the 3rd anti-codon position. Lineage: Bacteria; Pseudomonadati; Planctomycetota; Phycisphaerae. The record is from RNAcentral.